AUUGAACGCUGGCGGCAUGCUUUACACAUGCAAGUCGAACGGCAGCGCGGGCUUCGGCCUGGCGGCGGGUGGCGAACGGGUGAGUAAUGCAUCGGAACGUGCCCAGCAGUGGGGGAUAGCCCGGCGAAAGCCGGAUUAAUACCGCAUACGACCUGAGGGUGAAAGGGGGGGACCGAAAGGCCUCGCGCUAUUGGAGCGGCCGAUGUCGGAUUAGCUAGUUGGUGGGGUAAAGGCUUACCAAGGCGACGAUCCGUAGCUGGUCUGAGAGGACGACCAGCCACACUGGAACUGAGACACGGCCCAGACUCCUACGGGAGGCAGCAGUGGGGAAUUUUGGACAAUGGGGGCAAGCCUGAUCCAGCCAUGCCGCGUGCGGGAAGAAGGCCUUCGGGUUGUAAACCGCUUUUGUUCGGGAAGAAAUCCUCUGGGCUAAUACCCCGGGGGGAUGACGGUACCGGAAGAAUAAGCACCGGCUAACUACGUG
This 484-nucleotide ribosomal RNA is filed under the name uncultured bacterium. RNAcentral describes it as "partial 16S ribosomal RNA". It matches the Rfam family "Bacterial small subunit ribosomal RNA", at positions 28 to 507 of the family's 1533-position model. The record is from RNAcentral.